GAGAAUUGAAAAAUUAAAGCUAUCUUCUCUUCUUUAGGACUCAAUUAACCAGAGCCCUUCUCCUCCAAACAUGUCACUUAAUGAGACUGUUACUACAAUAAUUACACUUAAACAUAGGCAUCGUGAGAAAAAUGAAAAUUAUGUUCAGAUGGGGACAUGGAAGAAUGAGAAGACUGAACCAAAUCAAUACCUGUUGACUUUUAAGAAACAGAGAAAACAAUUAAGAGCACAAGAAAGGAAAUCUCUGGGACACCUGAGGAGACAUUUCAGAGGAGAAAGAGAAUCAAUUUCCAAGUAAUUUGGAAUGGAAGCAAGUCUGGCCGCAUUCUUUAUCUGGGAGCUCCUCUAAAAUCCUCCCACCACCACCAGGGUUUGAUGGUUAGGAGACUUAGCAACAGAAAGAGUAAAAAGAGAAAAUAAGCAGCGAAGCCUGUGCUUCCAUCUCCCCAGGGCAUGCCGAAAUAUUCACUCCUAGUUCUUCUUCAGGUGUCUCCUGAUGCCUAUGGUUUUGAUAUUGCUAUUUUGUCAUCAUUGUUUAAUUUCGGAUCCUGGUUUGCAAACUUGCAUCUUUCUGAAGACCAGUAAUGAUUUCUACGUUUCAACGAGCUAUUAAGUGUGUAUGUGGGGGGCAAGUGGAAUUGCUGCUGAAUGCAUAAAUUGAUUUGCACCUACAAUUUGCAUUUAUUCUGUGGGUAUAUUUGCCACUAAUGUUGUGACUGAACUGCCAUAAUGAAGAUUAAUUAUAUAAACAUUUUUUGCUGACUUUGUGAGCAGCUGAGUUGGUUGUUUUGCUUGAUUUUCCAAGCUUGGUGCUUAAGAGUAUGAUAGGAAACAUUUCUUGGAUUUGCUCAGCACCUUCAUAGAUGACGUGCCCCAGACCAGUCUUAUCUAAUAAACAUUUGUGGUGAGCUUUUCACUGGCUACACUGUUUCUGCUUACUUGAUUACAAAAGAAGAAGUAGAAGACCACU
RNAcentral lists this long non-coding RNA (970 nucleotides) under Homo sapiens (human). RNAcentral's name for it is "HSALNT0055777". Lineage: Eukaryota; Metazoa; Chordata; Mammalia; Primates; Hominidae. The record is from RNAcentral.